UACAUCAAGAUCAUUGUCCCAGAAGGGUGA
RNAcentral lists this non-coding RNA (30 nucleotides) under Rattus norvegicus (Norway rat). The record is from RNAcentral. Lineage: Eukaryota; Metazoa; Chordata; Mammalia; Rodentia; Muridae.